CAGCCGCCGCGGUAAAACCAGCACCUCAAGUGGUCAGGAUGAUUAUUGGGCCUAAAGCAUCCGUAGCCUGCUUUGUUAGUUUUCGGUUAAAUCCAUACGCUCAACGUAUGGGCUGCCGGGAAUACUGCAAAGCUAGGGAGUGGGAGAGGUGGACGGUACUCGGUAGGAAGGGGUAAAAUCCUUUGAUCUAUUGAUGACCACCUGUGGCGAAGGCGGUCUACCAGAACACGUCCGACGGUGAGGGAUGAAAGCUGGGGGAGCAAACCGGAUUAGAUACCCGGGUAGUCCCAGCUGUAAACUAUGCAAACUCGGUGAUGCAUUGGCUUGAUGCCAAUGCAGUGCCGCAGGGAAGCCGUUAAGUUUGCCGCCUGGGAAGUACGUACGCAAGUAUGAAACUUAAAGGAAUUGGCGGGGGAGCAC
This 420-nucleotide ribosomal RNA is filed under the name uncultured Nitrososphaerota archaeon. RNAcentral describes it as "bacterial SSU rRNA". It matches the Rfam family "Archaeal small subunit ribosomal RNA", at positions 459 to 879 of the family's 1478-position model. Lineage: Archaea; Thermoproteati; Nitrososphaerota. The record is from RNAcentral.